GCACGGGCAACUGUGUGGGAGAGUAGGUCGCCGCCGAAU
RNAcentral lists this ribosomal RNA (39 nucleotides) under Desulfofustis glycolicus DSM 9705. Lineage: Bacteria; Pseudomonadati; Thermodesulfobacteriota; Desulfobulbia; Desulfobulbales; Desulfocapsaceae. The record is from RNAcentral.